CCUACGGGUGGCUGCAGUGGGGAAUAUUGCACAAUGGGCGCAAGCCUGAUGCAGCCAUGCCGCGUGUGUGAAGAAGGCCUUCGGGUUGUAAAGCACUUUCAGCGGGGAGGAAGGCGGUGAGGUUAAUAACCUCAUCGAUUGACGUUACCCGCAGAAGAAGCACCGGCUAACUCCGUGCCAGCAGCCGCGGUAAUACGGAGGGUGCAAGCGUUAAUCGGAAUUACUGGGCAUAAAGCGCACGCAGGCGGUCUGUCAAGUCGGAUGUGAAAUCCCCGGGCUCAACCUGGGAACUGCAUUCGAAACUGGCAGGCUAGAGUCUUGUAGAGGGGGGUAGAAUUCCAGGUGUAGCGGUGAAAUGCGUAGAGAUCUGGAGGAAUACCGGUGGCGAAGGCGGCCCCCUGGACAAAGACUGACGCUCAGGUGCGAAAGCGUGGGGAGCAAACAGGAUUAGAUACCCCUGUAGUC
Molecule: ribosomal RNA, 465 nt
Filed under: uncultured Klebsiella sp.
Lineage: Bacteria; Pseudomonadati; Pseudomonadota; Gammaproteobacteria; Enterobacterales; Enterobacteriaceae
Description: bacterial SSU rRNA
Rfam family: Bacterial small subunit ribosomal RNA
Source: RNAcentral